AAAGGCGCUUUCGGGUGUCGCUGAUGGAUGGACCCGCGGUGCAUUAGCUAGUUGGUGAGGUAACGGCUCACCAAGGCCACGAUGCAUAGCCGACCUGAGAGGGUGAUCGGCCACAUUGGGACUGAGACACGGCCCAAACUCCUACGGGAGGCAGCAGUAGGGAAUCUUCGGCAAUGGACGAAAGUCUGACCGAGCAACGCCGCGUGAGUGAAGAAGGUUUUCGGAUCGUAAAACUCUGUUGUUAGAGAAGAACAAGGAUGAGAGUAACUGUUCAUCCCUUGACGGUAUCUAACCAGAAAGCCACGGCUAACUACGUGCCAGCAGCCGCGGUAAUACGUAGGUGGCAAGCGUUGUCCGGAUUUAUUGGGCGUAAAGCGAGCGCAGGCGGUUUCUUAAGUCUGAUGUGAAAGCCCCCGGCUCAACCGGGGAGGGUCAUUGGAAACUGGGAGACUUGAGUGCAGAAGAGGAGAGUGGAAUUCCAUGUGUAGCGGUGAAAUGCGUAGAUAUAUGGAGGAACACCAGUGGCGAAGGCGGCUCUCUGGUCUGUAACUGACGCUGAGGCUCGAAAGCGUGGGGAGCAAACAGGAUUAGAUACCCUGGUAGUCCACGCCGUAAACGAUGAGUGCUAAGUGUUGGAGGGUUUCCGCCCUUCAGUGCUGCAGCUAACGCAUUAAGCACUCCGCCUGGGGAGUACGACCGCAAGGUUGAAACUCAAAGGAAUUGACGGGGGCCCGCACAAGCGGUGGAGCAUGUGGUUUAAUUCGAAGCAACGCGAAGAACCUUACCAGGUCUUGACAUCCUUUGACCACUCUAGAGAUAGAGCUUCCCCUUCGGGGGCAAAGUGACAGGUGGUGCAUGGUUGUCGUCAGCUCGUGUCGUGAGAUGUUGGG
Molecule: ribosomal RNA, 890 nt
Filed under: Enterococcus faecium
Lineage: Bacteria; Bacillati; Bacillota; Bacilli; Lactobacillales; Enterococcaceae
Description: bacterial SSU rRNA
Rfam family: Bacterial small subunit ribosomal RNA
Source: RNAcentral